UUAAUUGAAGAGUUUGAUCAUGGCUCAGAUUGAACGCUGGCGGCAGGCCUAACACAUGCAAGUCGAGCGGUAACAGGGGAAGCUUGCUUCCCGCUGACGAGCGGCGGACGGGUGAGUAAUGUAUGGGGAUCUGCCCGAUAGAGGGGGAUAACCACUGGAAACGGUGGC
This 168-nucleotide ribosomal RNA is filed under the name Providencia rettgeri. RNAcentral's name for it is "partial 16S ribosomal RNA". It matches the Rfam family "Bacterial small subunit ribosomal RNA", at positions 1 to 163 of the family's 1533-position model. Lineage: Bacteria; Pseudomonadati; Pseudomonadota; Gammaproteobacteria; Enterobacterales; Morganellaceae. The record is from RNAcentral.